RNAcentral lists this ribosomal RNA (397 nucleotides) under uncultured bacterium. Its description in RNAcentral is "bacterial SSU rRNA". It matches the Rfam family "Bacterial small subunit ribosomal RNA", at positions 358 to 772 of the family's 1533-position model. The record is from RNAcentral.
GGAAUCUUAGACAAUGGGGGAAACCCUGAUCUAGCCAUGCCGCGUGAGUGACGAAGGCCCUAGGGUUGUAAAGCCCUUUCGGCGGGGAAGAUAAUGACGGUACCCGCAGAAGAAGCCCCGGCUAACUUCGUGCCAGCAGCCGCGGUAAUACGAAGGGGGCUAGCGUUGCUCGGAAUCACUGGGCGUAAAGCGCACGUAGGCGGCUUCUUAAGUCGGUGGUGAAAUCCUGGAGCUCAACUCCAGAACUGCCUUCGAUACUGAGAGGCUCGAGUCCGGGAGAGGUGAGUGGAACUGCGAGUGUAGAGGUGAAAUUCGUAGAUAUUCGCAAGAACACCAGUGGCGAAGGCGGCUCACUGGCCCGGUACUGACGCUGAGGUGCGAAAGCGUGGGGAGCAAA